Osmia lignaria (orchard mason bee) is the source of this 2226-nucleotide non-coding RNA. NCBI's taxonomy places the organism in Eukaryota, Metazoa, Arthropoda, Insecta, Hymenoptera, Megachilidae. The record is from RefSeq and is a predicted model, not a curated record.
UGGUCUGUAAAUCAAAAAAGAAAACUUCUUUAUUAUUCAAUUUUUAGUAUAAAUUUUAAUAUUGCAAUAAAAUUCGAGUCGGGUCAGCCUUGAUAAUCGUCUUCAAUCGUAACGGAACAAAGUAGUUUAAUAAUUUCAUAUGUGCUUCGACGAUUGAAAAGGCAAUUGAACGUAGGAACGAGGGAACCGCAGGAGGAGAAGAGAAGAGAACGUCCCUACAGAUUAUCGAAAAGUCCGUUCGCACGGUGCUGUCGGCUAACAGCACGGUCAGGGAACCAAGCUGAAACAUUAAUCUUCAUUGUCUUGUAUUUGUCCGUUACCAGCCAGCAUCCUUCCCUUUCUCUCCGUCGUUCUUUCUCUCAUCCCUCGGAUCGCUCUUAUUUUCUCCAUCGACCGACUCAAACUCCGAGGCAGCUCGAUCUCGCGUUAUUAAUCUCGUUGCUCCGUGAAAGAUAAGAUCAUCGCGUGAAGCAGCAACUCGCAGAGAGGGCUACGAACCGGCGUGCUUCGACGUUGCUAAACGGUCGAGAUUGAUAGAGUAACCUCGCAGCGUGGCUCUAUUACACGUAACUUUGCAAGUGCACCUGAUAGACGCCAUCGCGGAGAUGAAAUCAUCGACGACAAGCAUAAAUUACGAGGGAACUAAAUCGGUCAGGUCAAUUUCGUUCGUUUGAUAAUUCACCGCGUACAAAGUUCACGCACGUGCGUGAGUAGGUACAGGGAAUUAUCGAGGGGCUAUCGAAUCUCGAUUCAUCUUUUUCGUUCAUCGUCCAAUUGAGUAUCGCAAAUCGGUCGUUCGCUAUCUAUCGAAAGGUGUCGAAGAUCUUAUCCCAUGGAACAGCCACUCGAGCCAGCGAUCGUUAUCGAUUAUCAGGGACGAGAUGAUAGGAGAGAAGAAGAGAUGAUAGCAUGGACGGCCAGGAAAGGCUGGAUCGUGUGGUGGCUCGUUGAGACGUGCAACGAGCCACCGUCUGCGAGGGAGACAACCAGCAGCUUGAAGCAGUCGCGUACAGGUAGUAUGUACAACGUCGUCGGUGGAAGUGGUAGGCGAGAAUCAAUAUCGCGCACCCUUGCAGACCGAGCAACCUGAGGGGUUACUUUGGUCCCCCCUUCGUGCGCCAGUCAAAGGCCCUUCUCGAAUCCCUUCCCAGCGCACCCUUUCCUUCUCUCCUUCUUCUACGACUUAACUUGCCUCUUCCUUUCAUUCCGCUCCAUUCCGCCUACCAUUCCGUUCCGUUUUAACCCGUUUCUGCACACACGUGUGCACGUCUAUCGCCGCGGCACCGGCAGACCCGUGCCGUCAUCUCGUUCCUCGUGCAAUCAGCUGGGGCACCGUUAAGUGAAAUCCUCGCGAUUUUCACCACGACGGGCCAUUCGAUAACGCCGCACGGUAAUAAAUAUCCCAGCGGGUAAAGCAGUGGUUGGAACGGCAGCAGGAAUCGAACUAAGUGUAGGAGUAAGGAAAUCGAUGCUCGGAGUCAAAGGGAGUAUCAUAGUCCCUCAAUUUUUGUACGUUUCUCGGUCAAUCUGGCUUCCGCCCCUGGAGAAAUCAGAACCUUCCGGGGGAGUCGACUUAGGAUAUCCUUGCUCGUCGAAUUCGAUAAAGGGUCGCCGGAAAUCCAUCGUCCUCCCUGCGAUAUACCUACUCGUUCUCAGGCCUCGAUCGUCGAGAGAUCGACCCCUGUGAUUCCGUUACAAUUGUGACUCCUGGCUGACCGUUUCGAUCUAACUGGGUCAUCCCGGUAGUUUCUUAGACGAUAUUGCGAUACUAUCGACGAGUAAAUUCGUGUCGAUGUAUAAUUAGAAGGUAAGCGCGAUCGAGCAUCGACCACCGUUUCCGUUUCUAAGUGUUUUCAAUUUAUCGUUUGCGAAAUCUCGAGGUUAAUCGACGCUCGUGAAACUCGACGGGAAGUUCCGAAUCUUCGGAAGCCGCGAAACUAAAAUAUUAAGACGUUCACAAUGACGAAGGGAAGUUAAACAGGAAAUCUUGCUGCUACCGAGUCCUCUGAAAGCAUCGAGUUUCACGGAAACCUCGAGAGACUGGAACGUUCGCGGUCCCGGAAGUAGUGAAAAUUUCAAGGAUAAUGAAACAUUUGGAAGAGAGUUCGAAGUUCAACAGUCUUCGACACGAGAUCCGAUAUUAGAACGUCUUCAGUUCGAACAGUUAUCACAGAUACUUGUAUUCGCUUCGUGUGCCUUGGUAAAUAAAUUAUUUUAGAAAGGCAA